RNAcentral lists this long non-coding RNA (726 nucleotides) under Olea europaea subsp. europaea. The record is from RNAcentral. Lineage: Eukaryota; Viridiplantae; Streptophyta; Magnoliopsida; Lamiales; Oleaceae.
CUUUGAUAACUCUUUUUGAAUAUUUCUAUUUUCUCUUAUGCAGUAGCCAACUUCUUUUUCAAGUUUUCAAUUUCUUGCUCCAACCCAACGUCCUAUAUAGAAUCAAACGAAGGCAUUCUAUUAUUUUCAUGAAAAAAAAUAUCAUUUUCACUCCAUUACUCCCAAGAGACGAAAUACGAGAGCACCAGAAGGGGAAAUAAAUCAUAUUUAAAAUUCACAAAAAUAUAUAAUUUUAUCGCAAUUCUUAUUCACAACAAUGGGUCCUUAGGUGUCUCGUGUGUUUGCUCCAAGAAUGAUAUCAUCCUGAAUAAUGGAUUGUUAGCAAAGGAUGAGUUAAUUAAGCAUCGAGCCACACUCUUGAAGUCUUAUGAACCAAGGAUCGCUGAAUGUAUUUAAGAAAGUAAUAUCAUGUAGACAUUAAAAGGUGUUAUGAAUAUAUACAAAAAAAAAAAAAAAAAAAAAAAAUCUUGUUACAUUAAUGCUUCUUGUUAAAGAACUACUUUUCUAAGGAUACCUAGAAUUAUUUCACAGAAACUUCAUUAAAAUAAUGUGAUUUAUCAUUUCUAUAAAAUUUCAUUUUAAUAGAUCCACUCAUGCUUUCCACGAUUGUGGAAUCAACUACCCUGUCUGAUGCUAAUAGAUCAUAUUCUUUCACAUUCAUCACACAACACCUACCAUAUCCUAAAAUAUUGACAAAAACUAAACCUUUGCAGUGAUUGCAUGAAG